UGGGGAAUAUUGCACAAUGGGGGGAACCCUGAUGCAGCGACGCCGCGUGGGUGAGGAAGUACUUCGGUAUGUAAAGCCCUAUCAGCAGGGAAGAAAAUGACGGUACCUGACUAAGAAGCCCCGGCUAACUACGUGCCAGCAGCCGCGGUAAUACGUAGGGGGCAAGCGUUAUCCGGAUUUACUGGGUGUAAAGGGAGCGUAGACGGCGUGCCAAGUCUGAUGUGAAAGGCCGGGGCUCAACCCCGGGACUGCAUUGGAAACUGGCAUGCUGGAGUGCCGGAGGGGCAAGCGGAAUUCCUAGUGUAGCGGUGAAAUGCGUAGAUAUUAGGAGGAACACCGGUGGCGAAGGCGGCUUGCUGGACGGUAACUGACGUUGAGGCUCGAAAGCGUGGGGAGCAAACAGG
This 404-nucleotide ribosomal RNA is filed under the name uncultured bacterium. RNAcentral's name for it is "bacterial SSU rRNA". It matches the Rfam family "Bacterial small subunit ribosomal RNA", at positions 355 to 776 of the family's 1533-position model. The record is from RNAcentral.